CGGCCCUGAGGCCGGACCGGUCAAAGUGGCCGGGUGGAGCAACGCGCGAAGCCGGUGAGAUCCCGGCGCUGUCCCGCAACGGUAAUGCCUGCGGACGCAGGAUGAGCCCGGUCGACCGUGCUCCACAACCUACG
This is a regulatory RNA element of Propionibacterium sp. oral taxon 192, 134 nucleotides long. NCBI's taxonomy places the organism in Bacteria, Bacillati, Actinomycetota, Actinomycetes, Propionibacteriales, Propionibacteriaceae. The record is from Rfam.